AGCUCCAAUAGCGUAUAUUAAAGUUGUUGCAGUUAAAAAGCUCGUAGUUGGACAUCGGGCGCGUGUGCAUGGUCCGCCGAAAGGUGUGCACCGUGUGGGCUCUCUGGCCUCGCAAGACGCGCGUCCUCUUUCCGUAGACCGCGUGGGCCCUUAGUUGCGGCGUGCGUAUUAUGGGAUGCGGAUCGUUUACUUUGAAUAAAUUAGAGUGUUCAAAGCAGGCUUUCGCUUGGAUACAUUAGCAUGGAAUAAUGGAAUAGGACUUUGGUUCUAUUUUGUUGGUUUCUAGGACCGAAGUAAUGAUUAAUAGGGAUAGUUGGGGGCAUUAAUAUUUAAUUGUCAGAGGUGAAAUUCUUGGAUUUAUGAAAGAUUAACUUCUGCGAAAGCAUUUGCCAAGGAUGUU
Molecule: ribosomal RNA, 400 nt
Filed under: phytoplankton environmental sample
Lineage: Eukaryota
Description: partial small subunit ribosomal RNA
Rfam family: Eukaryotic small subunit ribosomal RNA
Source: RNAcentral